This 466-nucleotide ribosomal RNA is filed under the name uncultured bacterium. RNAcentral's name for it is "partial 16S ribosomal RNA". It matches the Rfam family "Bacterial small subunit ribosomal RNA", at positions 28 to 505 of the family's 1533-position model. The record is from RNAcentral.
GACGAACGCUGGCGGCGUGCUUAACACAUGCAAGUCGAACGGAAAGGCCCUGCUUUUGUGGGGUGCUCGAGUGGCGAACGGGUGAGUAACACGUGAGUAACCUGCCCUUGACUUUGGGAUAACUUCAGGAAACUGGGGCUAAUACCGGAUAGGAGCUCCUGCUGCAUGGUGGGGGUUGGAAAGUUUCGGCGGUUGGGGAUGGACUCGCGGCUUAUCAGCUUGUUGGUGGGGUAGUGGCUUACCAAGGCUUUGACGGGUAGCCGGCCUGAGAGGGUGACCGGCCACAUUGGGACUGAGAUACGGCCAAGACUCCUACGGGAGGCAGCAGUGGGGAAUAUUGCACAAUGGGCGGAAGCCUGAUGCAGCAACGCCGCGUGCGGGAUGACGGCCUUCGGGUUGUAAACCGCUUUCGCCUGUGACGAAGCGUGAGUGACGGUAAUGGGUAAAGAAGCACCGGCUAACUACG